Molecule: ribosomal RNA, 229 nt
Filed under: Enterobacter hormaechei subsp. steigerwaltii
Lineage: Bacteria; Pseudomonadati; Pseudomonadota; Gammaproteobacteria; Enterobacterales; Enterobacteriaceae
Description: partial 23S ribosomal RNA
Rfam family: Bacterial large subunit ribosomal RNA
Source: RNAcentral
GGGUUGUGAGGUUAAGCGACUAAGCGUACACGGUGGAUGCCCUGGCAGUCAGAGGCGAUGAAGGACGUGCUAAUCUGCGAAAAGCGCCGGCGAGGUGAUAUGAACCCUUGACCCGGCGAUGUCCGAAUGGGGAAACCCAGUGCAAUCCGUUGCACUAUCGUUAACUGAAUACAUAGGUUAACGAGGCGAACCGGGGGAACUGAAACAUCUAAGUACCCCGAGGAAAAGA